This 262-nucleotide ribosomal RNA is filed under the name uncultured bacterium. Its description in RNAcentral is "partial 16S ribosomal RNA". It matches the Rfam family "Bacterial small subunit ribosomal RNA", at positions 524 to 776 of the family's 1533-position model. The record is from RNAcentral.
UACGGAGGGGGGCUAGCGUUGUUCGGAAUUACUGGGCGUAAAGCGCACGUAGGCGGCGAUCUAAGUCAGAGGUGAAAGCCCCGGGGGCUCAACCCCCGGAACUGCCUUUUGAGACUGGAUUGCUAGAAUCACAGAGAGGUGGGUGGAAUUCCGAGUGUAGAGGUGAAAAUUCGUAGAUAUUCGGAAGAAACACCAGUGGCGAAGGGCGGCCCACCUGGACGUGUAUUGACGCUGAGGUGCGAAAGCGUGGGGAGCAAACAGG